AAUAAAAUGCCUGAAAAAAGGAUUACUUUGAUAGAGUAAAACAUGUAAUUAAAUACUUUUAUUA
Molecule: transfer RNA, 64 nt
Filed under: Schlechtendalia peitan
Lineage: Eukaryota; Metazoa; Arthropoda; Insecta; Hemiptera; Aphididae
Description: tRNA-Ile
Source: RNAcentral